This 87-nucleotide transfer RNA is filed under the name Cordylochernes scorpioides. Its description in RNAcentral is "tRNA-Tyr". The record is from RNAcentral. Lineage: Eukaryota; Metazoa; Arthropoda; Arachnida; Pseudoscorpiones; Chernetidae.
UCCCUCGAGCCGGAUUUGAACCAGAGACCUAAGGAUCACCGUUGUAACAUCUACAGUACUCCGCUCUGCCAACUGAGCUAUCGAGGG